Ribosomal RNA from Lepisosteus oculatus (spotted gar), 119 nucleotides. The record is from Ensembl. Lineage: Eukaryota; Metazoa; Chordata; Actinopteri; Semionotiformes; Lepisosteidae.
GCCAGCAGCCAUAUCACCCUGCAACUCACAACUGGUAACCCACUGAAGCUAAGCAGGUGUGAGCCUGGUAAAUACCUGGAUGGGAGACCUCCUGGGAAAAACUAAGGUUGCUGCUGGAA